RNAcentral lists this unclassified non-coding RNA (451 nucleotides) under Sageretia thea. RNAcentral's name for it is "partial contains internal transcribed spacer 1, 5.8S ribosomal RNA, and internal transcribed spacer 2". The stretch from base 61 to 216 matches the Rfam family "5.8S ribosomal RNA". Lineage: Eukaryota; Viridiplantae; Streptophyta; Magnoliopsida; Rosales; Rhamnaceae. The record is from RNAcentral.
CCCGGCGCCCCAGAGAUGGUGCGCGUUUGGGGCUUUGCGUGGUAUUCUAUAUGUCAAAACGACUCUCGGCAACGGAUAUCUCGGCUCUCGCAUCGAUGAAGAACGUAGCGAAAUGCGAUACUUGGUGUGAAUUGCAGAAUCCCGUGAACCAUCGAGUCUUUGAACGCAAGUUGCGCCCAAAGCCAUUAGGCCGAGGGCACGUCUGCCUGGGCGUCACACAACGUUGCCCCCCCAACCCCAAUCCUCAACUUUUGAGGAGGACGGCGGGGGGCGGAUGCUGGCCUCCCGUGCGCCACGGUUCGCGGUUGGCCCAAAUACGAGUACUCGGCGACGAGCGCCGCGGCAAUCGGUGGUUGUCCAACCCUCGGUGCCAUGCUGCGCGCGCGAGUCGCUCUUCGUUACUCGACGACCCCAAUGCGUCGUUCACACGACGAUCACAACGCGACCCCAG